CAGUCGCCGCGGUAACACGUAGGUGGCAAGCGUUGUCCGGAAUUAUUGGGCGUAAAGGGCUCGCAGGCGGUUUCUUAAGUCUGAUGUGAAAGCCCCCGGCUCAACCGGGGAGGGUCAUUGGAAACUGGGAAACUUGAGUGCAGAAGAGGAGAGUGGAAUUCCACGUGUAGCGGUGAAAUGCGUAGAGAUGUGGAGGAACACCAGUGGCGAAGGCGACUCUCUGGUCUGUAACUGACGCUGAGGAGCGAAAGCGUGGGGAGCGAACAGGAUUAGAUACCCCAGUAGUCCCUGUCUCUUAUAC
Molecule: ribosomal RNA, 301 nt
Filed under: uncultured bacterium
Lineage: Bacteria
Description: partial 16S ribosomal RNA
Rfam family: Bacterial small subunit ribosomal RNA
Source: RNAcentral